Molecule: long non-coding RNA, 218 nt
Organism: Asparagus officinalis (garden asparagus)
Lineage: Eukaryota; Viridiplantae; Streptophyta; Magnoliopsida; Asparagales; Asparagaceae
Exons: 3
Source: RefSeq, a predicted model, not a curated record
CCCCUGCCUCUCUCUCUGGUUUCAAGUCCCGAUCCUCUCUCUCUCUGGUUUCGCUCACAGGUUUUGGGAACUGAAACCCUGUCUUGCAUUUGGAUUAGUUUUGUUGAUGAUCUUUCUUUGCCGUUUCUUUCUAAACCCUUGGUGGAUUCUUAGCUAAUUCAAGUAAGGAGUGCUUGUCUCAUCUCAAAGGUACAAAUUUUUCAUUUUAUUGAGAAUUC